RNAcentral lists this long non-coding RNA (858 nucleotides) under Rattus norvegicus (Norway rat). RNAcentral's name for it is "long non-coding RNA NONRATT025860". Lineage: Eukaryota; Metazoa; Chordata; Mammalia; Rodentia; Muridae. The record is from RNAcentral.
UUUGACGACAGCAGUGAAGCGGAUGUGGAAGCGGCCCCUGAUCCAUUUCUCUGCCCAUUCGUGAGCUCCUCGGGCCCUGUGUAUCUGAAGGGGAAUCUGUACGGCCCAGAUCCAUUUGAAGUGUAUCUUCCAGGUAUGGUUUACCUUGCUUGAACACAGCUAUGUUUCUCGGAAAGGCUUCUCGGUGUGCUAACUCCGUCUCUUUUUUGUUGUGGAUUCCAACUUGCAAAGGUUGCAGUUCUGACCCGAGGAUCGCUUUAAUGGACCACUGUGAGUCGAGCUACACAAAGAAGGACUGCUUCUCAUGCGCUCAUCCCUCAGAGGAACCCUGUGAACGGAGCCUCAAGAGCAUCCCGUGGCCACAUUCUAGAAAGCUCAUGAACUCCGCGUUCUCUCAGAACGAGGGACCUGCGGUUCAGACUCUGCGUCUAAACAAGUCCGUGGAUUUUAGUACAAGUCCAGAACCAGGAUCGGCUACUUCAAGUAACUCUUUCAUGGGAACCUUCGGAAAACCUCUGAGGAGACCGCAACUGGAUGCCUUGUCGAGCUUCGCACAACCACCAGACUGUCAGCCAAGGCCCUGUCACGGGAAAUCACUUUCCCCACCAGAGCUGGACUCUGAGUCAGAAGAAGAUGAAAAAGAAAGGACAGAUUUUCGGGAAGAAAAUCACAGGUGUACUUAUCAACAGAUAUUGCACAGUUACAGGACUCCAGACCGACAGCCUUGUGAUUCAGACACAUAGACUGGAGGGGACCAAGGAAAAGUUUCCGCAUACUACCUCAGCUGGGCUUCUAUUUAAAAGACACAGAAUCCUAUGUUUUUAAACAGACUUACAAAGUUUAAAAAGAAGAAAAAAA